GUGCGAAAUAGUCGAAAUGUCAUCGACUAUGGUCGAUUAUGGUGAGGACACGACAGAUCUAAUAAUUUGACAGGUGUCUAACAACUGUACAGAUGUCUAACAAGUGCACAGGUGUCUAACAAUUGUACAGAUGUCUAACAACUGUACAGAUGUCUAACAACUGUACAGGUGUCUAACAAUUGCACAGGUGUCUAACAACUGUACAGGUGUCUAAUAAUUGUACAG
This is a long non-coding RNA of Haliotis rubra (blacklip abalone), 225 nucleotides long. RefSeq lists it as uncharacterized. NCBI's taxonomy places the organism in Eukaryota, Metazoa, Mollusca, Gastropoda, Lepetellida, Haliotidae. The transcript is spliced from 3 exons. The record is from RefSeq and is a predicted model, not a curated record.